RNAcentral lists this ribosomal RNA (493 nucleotides) under uncultured bacterium. RNAcentral's name for it is "bacterial SSU rRNA". It matches the Rfam family "Bacterial small subunit ribosomal RNA", at positions 1 to 525 of the family's 1533-position model. The record is from RNAcentral.
UAGAGUUUGAUCCUGGCUCAGGACGAACGCUGGCGGCGUGCCUAACACAUGCAAGUCGAGCGGGACACUUCGGUGUCCAGCGGCGGACGGGUGAGUAACACGUGGGUAACCUGCCUUGUAGAGGGGGAUAGCCUUCCGAAAGGAAGAUUAAUACCGCAUAACAUUGUUUCUUCGCAUGAAGAGACAAUCAAAGGAGCAAUCCGCUACAAGAUGGACCCGCGGCGCAUUAGCUAGUUGGUGAGGUAACGGCUCACCAAGGCAACGAUGCGUAGCCGGCCUGAGAGGGUGAACGGCCACAUUGGAACUGAGACACGGUCCAGACUCCUACGGGAGGCAGCAGUGGGGAAUAUUGCACAAUGGGCGAAAGCCUGAUGCAGCAACGCCGCGUGAGUGAUGAAGGCCUUCGGGUUGUAAAGCUCUGUCUUCUGGGACGAUAAUGACGGUACCAGAGGAGGAAGCCACGGCUAACUACGUGCCAGCAGCCGCGGUAAUA